UGCGUAGGCGGCGCGGUAAGUCGGGUGUGAAAUCUCGGAGCUUAACUCCGAAACUGCAUUCGAUACUGCCGUGCUUGAGGGCUCGAGAGGGACACGGAAUUCCGGGUGGAGUGGUGAAAUGCGUAGAGAUCCGGAGGAACACCGAAGGCGAAGGCAGUGUCCUGGCGAGUGACUGACGCUGAGGUGCGAAAGCUAGGGGAGCGAACG
RNAcentral lists this ribosomal RNA (207 nucleotides) under uncultured bacterium. Its description in RNAcentral is "partial 16S ribosomal RNA". It matches the Rfam family "Bacterial small subunit ribosomal RNA", at positions 568 to 774 of the family's 1533-position model. The record is from RNAcentral.